UACGUAGGGUGCGAGCGUUGCCCGGAUUUAUUGGGCGUAAAGCGCGCGCAGGCGGCCCUGUGCGCUGCCGGUGAAAGCUCCCGGCUUACCUGGGAGAGGUUCGGCAGGACGGCAGGGCUGGAGGGUGGGAGAGGUCGGUGGAAUUCCCGGUGUAGUGGUGAAAUGCGUAGAGAUCGGGAGGAACACCCGUAGCGAAGGCGGCCGACUGGACCACACCUGACGCUGAGGCGCGAAGGCCAGGGGAGCGAACGGG
This 253-nucleotide ribosomal RNA is filed under the name uncultured bacterium. RNAcentral's name for it is "partial 16S ribosomal RNA". It matches the Rfam family "Bacterial small subunit ribosomal RNA", at positions 524 to 776 of the family's 1533-position model. The record is from RNAcentral.